AGUAAUGUCUGGGAAACUGCCUGAUGGAGGGGGAUAACUACUGGAAGCGGUAGCUAAUACCGCAUAACGUCUUCGGACCAAAGUGGGGGACCUUCGGGCCUCACGCCAUCGGAUGUGCCCAGAUGGGAUUAGCUAGUAGGUGGGGUAAUGGCUCACCUAGGCGACGAUCCCUAGCUGGUCUGAGAGGAUGACCAGCCACACUGGAACUGAGACACGGUCCAG
RNAcentral lists this ribosomal RNA (222 nucleotides) under uncultured bacterium. RNAcentral's name for it is "partial 16S ribosomal RNA". It matches the Rfam family "Bacterial small subunit ribosomal RNA", at positions 109 to 334 of the family's 1533-position model. The record is from RNAcentral.